This 497-nucleotide ribosomal RNA is filed under the name uncultured bacterium. Its description in RNAcentral is "partial 16S ribosomal RNA". It matches the Rfam family "Bacterial small subunit ribosomal RNA", at positions 28 to 507 of the family's 1533-position model. The record is from RNAcentral.
GAUGAACGCUGGCGGCGUGCCUAAUACAUGCAAGUCGAGCGAACAGAUGAGGAGCUUGCUCCUCUGACGUUAGCGGCGGACGGGUGAGUAACACGUGGAUAACCUACUUAUAAGACUGGGAUAACUUCGUGAAACCGGAGCUAAUACCGGAUAAUAUAUUGAACCGCAUGGUUCAAUAGUGAAUGACGGUUUUGCUGUCACUUAUAGAUGGAUCCGCGCCGCAUUAGCUAGUUGGUAAGGUAACGGCUUACCAAGGCAACGAUGCGUAGCCGACCUGAGAGGAUGAUCGGCCACACUGGAACUGAGACACGGUCCAGACUCCUACGGGAGGCAGCAGUAGGGAAUCUUCCGCAAUGGGCGAAAGCCUGACGGAGCAACGCCGCGUGAGUGAUGAAGGUCUUCGGAUCGUAAAGCUCUGUUAUUGGGGAAGAACAGAUGUGUAAGUAAAUAUGCACGUCUUGACGGUACCUAAUCAGAAAGCAACGGCUAACUACGUG